Molecule: ribosomal RNA, 467 nt
Filed under: uncultured bacterium
Lineage: Bacteria
Description: partial 16S ribosomal RNA
Rfam family: Bacterial small subunit ribosomal RNA
Source: RNAcentral
ACGCACGCUGGCGGCGUGCUUAACCCCUGCAAGUCGCACGGAAAGGCCCUGCUUUUGUGGGGUGCUCGAGUGGCGAACGGGUGAGUAACACGUGAGUAACCUGCCCUUGACUUUGGGAUAACUUCAGGAAACUGGGGCUAAUACCGGAUAGGAGCUCCUGCUGCCUGGUGGGGGUUGGAAAGUUUCGGCGGUUGGGGAUGGACUCGCGGCUUAUCAGCUUGUUGGUGGGGUAGUGGCUUACCACGGCUUUGACGGGUAGCCGGCCUGAGAGGGUGACCGGCCACAUUGGGACUGAGAUACGGCCCAGACUCCUACGGGAGGCAGCAGUGGGGAAUAUUGCACAAUGGGCGGAAGCCUGAUGCAGCAACGCCGCGUGCGGGAUGACGGCCUUCGGGUUGUAAACCGCUUUCGCCUGUGACGAAGCGUGAGUGACGGUAAUGGGUAAAGAAGCACCGGCUAACUACGUG